RNAcentral lists this ribosomal RNA (256 nucleotides) under uncultured prokaryote. RNAcentral's name for it is "partial 16S ribosomal RNA". It matches the Rfam family "Bacterial small subunit ribosomal RNA", at positions 521 to 775 of the family's 1533-position model. The record is from RNAcentral.
UAAUACGGGGGGAGCAAGCGUUGUUCGGAUUUACUGGGCGUAAAGGGCGCGUAGGCGGCCACCGCAAGUCAGUUGUGAAAUCUCUGGGCUUAACCCAGAAAGGUCAACUGAUACUGCGGGGCUAGAGUGCAGAAGGGGCAACUGGAAUUCUCGGUGUAGCGGUGAAAUGCGUAGAUAUCGAGAGGAACACCUGCGGCGAAGGCGGGUUGCUGGGCUGACACUGACGCUGAGGCGCGAAAGCUAGGGGAGCGAACGG